Molecule: ribosomal RNA, 253 nt
Filed under: uncultured bacterium
Lineage: Bacteria
Description: partial 16S ribosomal RNA
Rfam family: Bacterial small subunit ribosomal RNA
Source: RNAcentral
UACGAAGGGUGCAAGCGUUAGUCGGAAUUACUGGGCGUAAAGCGUGCGUAGGUGGUCUCUUAAGUCCGUUGUGAAAGCCCUGGGCUCAACCUGGGAACUGCAGUGGAUACUGAGAAGCUAGAGUGUGUCAGAGGAUGGUGGAAUUCCACGUGUAGCAGUGAAAUGCGUAGAGAUGUGGAGGAACACCGAUGGCGAAGGCAGCCCCCUGGGCUAACACUGACGCUCAUGCACGAAAGCGUGGGGAGCAAACAGG